Molecule: long non-coding RNA, 904 nt
Organism: Xyrauchen texanus (razorback sucker)
Lineage: Eukaryota; Metazoa; Chordata; Actinopteri; Cypriniformes; Catostomidae
Exons: 3
Source: RefSeq, a predicted model, not a curated record
CAGUUCUUCACUGGCACUACUAUGAAAAGGAGCAUUAAAGUGAGCCUGAGUGAGAAACCUUUUGUUGGAGCUUAAUUACCAGGUCUGGAUCAGGGCCAUGCUCCACAAGCUUGCAUUUUCCUGGGACCCAUUCUACAAAUUAAGCUGGGAUAGUGAAGUAUUUUGUAAAAAUUUCUCCCCGAUUUGGAAUGUUCAAUUCCCAAUGCGCUCUAGGUCCUCGUGGUGGUGUAGUAACUCGCCUCAAUCCAGGUGGCGGAGGACAAAUCUCAGUUUCCUCCUCAUCUGAGAACAUCAAUUCACGCAUCUUAUCACGUGGCUUGUUGAGCACAUUACCGCGGAGACAUAGGAGACAUACUGUGGAGGGUUCACGCUAUUCUUCGCGGCAUCAACGCACAAUUCACCACGCGCCCCACUGAGAGCGAGAACCACAUUAUAGUGGCCACAAGGAGGUUAACCCAACGUGACUCUACCCACUCUAGCAACCGGGCCGAUUAACUGGAGUCAAUCAGCAUGCCCUGGAUUCGAACUUGUGACUCCAGGGGUGGUAGUCAGUGUCUUUAUUUGCUGAGCUACCCAGGCCCCCGAUAGUGAGGCCGGGUCACACAAGAUGCCAUCACUCGCACUUCCUCUCUGUCUGCAGAGCAGCUUGCCCAGAGGAAGGGACCAAUCAGCAGGUCAUUAUGGCCUGGUCGGAAUGUACAAGUAACUAUGGUAACAGCGCUUUGAUUUCAACCACAAGAGAGCGGGGCCUCCUUGCCGACUGUAUCUAUGGAACACCACUUGAAGUCAAACUUCCAACUUGAAAACUCAAUUUCAUUAAGAUGGGGAUGCAUGAUGUCACAUACACAUGUCAGCAACCAGGGCGUUAUACAACGUUGAUGAUAAACCUUCACUUUUCUCUAAA